Molecule: RNA transcript, 1908 nt
Organism: Spinacia oleracea (spinach)
Lineage: Eukaryota; Viridiplantae; Streptophyta; Magnoliopsida; Caryophyllales; Amaranthaceae
Gene name: DNA polymerase delta small subunit-like
Exons: 16
Source: RefSeq, a predicted model, not a curated record
UAUUUUCGUGACCCGCAAAACCGAUUUAAACCAAAGUUUGGAGGUCACUGUGAGUAGUACUGGCAUUGUAAGAAGCGCAGUGUUCAUUCUUUUUCCCGCCAUGGAAGUUGACGGCGAGCAGAUCCUCCAACGCAAGCACUCUCACUACCAUAACUUGGAUGAAGCGUUUAUGGUGCGAAAUGAGGUGUAUAAAGGGCAACAAUACAGUCAAAUUUACUACGCAAGGCUUCAUUUGUUGAGGACUGUUCUUCAUUCUCUUCUUCCUCACUGGAAAUCCCACAUUCCCGUUCGUAAUAUUUUGGGUCUAGAAGAGGGCAAGGAAUGUAUCCUUGUCGGAACAGUCUUCAAGGACAUGAAACUCAAACCCUGCAUUCUUGAUGAGUAUGCUAAGGAGAGGUCUGUGAUUCCUGUUGUCAAGCCGCACAAUUUUAUGCAUCCUGAUGAUCACCUGAUCCUAGAGGAUGAAAGUGGAAGAGUGAAGCUGGAGGGAGCUACACUUUUUCCAUCUGUUUAUGUGACAGGGGUUGUGGUUGCAUUCCAUGGAAAAGAAUCUGGAGCUGGGUCGUUUCUUGUUCAAGAUAUCCUUGAAGCUGGCUUACCACCGCAGAUCGAGAAGCCUCUAAAGCUUGGUGAUGACAAGUAUGUUGUCUUCGUAGCAGGAUUAAGUGUUGGGAAUAGCACCUCAAACCCUCUCCAGUUCCAGCUGCUUGUGGAUCAUAUAACUGGCCACUUAGGCGACGAAAAUGAACAGAGAAUUGCUGCAGAGAUAGUCCAUGUAGUAAUUGCUGGAAAUUCUCUAGAAUUCGCCAAAGGACAGUUUAAUGGACAGAAUUCGGGAUCUAAUGAUCAAUCUAAACUAUCUGAGCCAUUUAGAGAGCUGGAUGUCUUGCUGACUCAGAUUGCUGCUGGUGUGUCUCUGGAUAUCAUGCCAGGGCCAAAUGAUCCUGCAAAUUUCUAUCUACCACAGCAGCCUUUAAAUAGAUGCCUUUUUCCUGGGUCUUCAGUUUAUAACACCUUCAGGCCUUGUACUAAUCCUCAUUCCUUUGAGCUUGACAGUGUCAGAUUUCUUGGGACAUCAGGGCAGAAUAUUGAUGAUCUUGGAAAGUAUUCUGAAGCUAAAGAUAAACUCGAGUUCUUGGAAAGGACGUUGAGAUGGAGGCAUCUUGCUCCAUCUGCACCCAACACUCUAGGGUGUUAUCCAUUUCCAGACAGGGAUCCUUUUGUAAUUGAGAGCUGUCCUCAUGUUUACUUUGUCGGCAAUCAGGAUACGCACGAAAGCCGUUUAAUCAAAGGACCAGAAGGGCAAAUGACACAACUUAUUACCAUUCCCAAAUUUUGCGAGACAGGAGUUGCUGUGGUGCUUAAUUUGAGAAAUCUGGAGAGCCAUGCUCUGAGUUUUGGAACUCAAUUCAGCUUGUAACUGUGAAUCAUGAGUUUCAGGCUACUUUUAAAAAACCCACAUCAUGGGUUCUACCCAUCAUCAUUUUUCCUGCCAUUCUCUUUCCCAAUUUCAUCCCGUCAUCACAGUUACUUUAGAGUCCAAGAACAUCACACUGGUAGUGGUAUUUCGUCGGAGCAAAUGAGGCUUCUGCCGGUGAAAAUGAAGGUCAUCCAUAAUUGUGAGACGAUAGGAUAGAGGAAGAAGAUUAAUUGAAGAAAUAGGCAGAGAAUUCAAGGCGAAAAACUGAGGGACUUGGGUAAUUCUCUGAGUAGGUCAUGGCUAUAAGUCAUAUAACCAGUUAGAAUUUAGUGGUAAUGUGCAAUAUAUGUGUUGGUUACUUCCAUUUGUAUAAAAAGAACAUGAAAAUAUGGUUGGAUUUUAUGAAAGUAUGUGAAUCUUAUGGAUGUUCAACAGUUGUAGUAUCUCCAUUCCUUAAAGUUCUUUCCGUUUUUGUUCGUUCCUGAUAA